UACGGGGGGAGCAAGCGUUGUUCGGAUUUACUGGGCGUAAAGGGCGCGUAGGCGGCCAGCACAAGUCAGUUGUGAAAUCUCCGAGCUUAACUCGGAAAGGUCAACUGAUACUGUGCGGCUAGAGUGCGGAAGGGGCAACUGGAAUUCUUGGUGUAGCGGUGAAAUGCGUAGAUAUCGGGAGGAACACCUGUGGCGAAAGCGGCUCACUGGACCACAACUGACGCUGAGGCGCGAAAGCUAGGGGAGCAAACAGG
Molecule: ribosomal RNA, 254 nt
Filed under: uncultured bacterium
Lineage: Bacteria
Description: partial 16S ribosomal RNA
Rfam family: Bacterial small subunit ribosomal RNA
Source: RNAcentral